CCAACCCCUGUGACAUACCUAUACGUUGCCUCGGCGGAUCAGCCCGCGCCCCGUAAAACGGGACGGCCCGCCGCAGGACCCAUAAACCCUGAAUUUUAUUGUAACUUCUGAGUUUAAAAAACAAAUAAAUCAAAACUUUCAACAACGGAUCUCUUGGUUCUGGCAUCGAUGAAGAACGCAGCAAAAUGCGAUAAGUAAUGUGAAUUGCAGAAUUCAGUGAAUCAUCGAAUCUUUGAACGCACAUUGCGCCCGCCAGUAUUCUGGCGGGCAUGCCUGUUCGAGCGUCAUUUCAACCCUCAAGCCCCCGGGUUUGGUGUUGGGGAUCGGGCUGCGGUUCUACCGCGUCCCGGCCCCGAAAUCUAGUGGCGGUCUCGCUGCAGCCUCCAUUGCGUAGKAGCUAACACCUCSCAACUGGAASGSGGCGCGGCCAASCCGUUAAACCCCCAACUUCUGAAUGUUGACCUCGGAUCAGGUAGGAA
This 479-nucleotide ribosomal RNA is filed under the name Fusarium chlamydosporum. Its description in RNAcentral is "eukaryotic LSU rRNA". Lineage: Eukaryota; Fungi; Ascomycota; Sordariomycetes; Hypocreales; Nectriaceae. The record is from RNAcentral.